Molecule: ribosomal RNA, 303 nt
Filed under: uncultured bacterium
Lineage: Bacteria
Description: partial 16S ribosomal RNA
Rfam family: Bacterial small subunit ribosomal RNA
Source: RNAcentral
AGCAGCAGCCACGGGAAUACGAAGGGGGCUAGCGUUGUUCGGAAUUACUGGGCGUAAAGGGCGCGUAGGCGGCCAUUCAAGUUAGAUGUGAAAGCCCUGGGCUCAACCUAGGAAUUGCAUUUGAUACUGUUUGGCUUGAGUUCGGGAGAGGUGAGUGGAAUUCCCAGUGUAGAGGUGAAAUUCGUAGAUAUUGGGAAGAACACCGGUGGCGAAGGCGGCUCACUGGACCGACACUGACGCUGAUGCACGAAAGCUAGGGGAGCAAACAGGAUUAGAUACCCCCGUAGUCCCUGUCUCUUAUAC